AAUCCGUGUUGUGGACAACAUGCACAAAGUUUUUUAAAUCGCUCCCAAUAGUCAUAAAGACUUUCUUCUCUCUUUUGUUGAAUGGAAAAAAAUACUCCUUCGUAACU
This is a small nucleolar RNA of Hibiscus syriacus, 107 nucleotides long. Lineage: Eukaryota; Viridiplantae; Streptophyta; Magnoliopsida; Malvales; Malvaceae. The record is from RefSeq and is a predicted model, not a curated record.